Long non-coding RNA from Ficedula albicollis (Collared flycatcher), 1694 nucleotides. NCBI's taxonomy places the organism in Eukaryota, Metazoa, Chordata, Aves, Passeriformes, Muscicapidae. The record is from Ensembl.
GGGGGGGGGGGGGGGGGGGGGGGGGGGGGGGGGGGGGGGGGGGGGGGGGGGGGGGGGGGGGGGGGGGGGGGGGGGGGGGGGGGGGGGGGGGGGGGGGGGGGGGGGGGGGGGCUCGGCCGGCCCGGGGGGUGUGAGGAUCGCUGCUGUGGGUGGGGAUCGCACGCUGCGGCUCCGUGAGGGCCGCGCAGGUAACGCUGCUGCGGGGGGGCUCGGCAUCCACCGCCAUCCCUCCGGUUUUGUGGUGCUACAGCCAUCAAAAUCAACGAUUAGGUCCCUUUUAAUGAUUUUUUGGUGUACUAGACCCUUUCUGUCUAAUUAAAAAUUACACCCACAGCACUGGAGCUUUUGCGAUUUCAGUUUAAAAUUGCCCUGUUGGUAGAUGAAGUUUUGCAAGCUGCAUUACACUACUUUAAAUUUACAUCGCUCUGUAUUUUCUAAUUAAGAAUUAUUUAGAAGGAUUGCUGACUGCUAAUACCUGUCUGAUACAAAUAUUUCAGUGAUUCAUAUCAGCAUAAAUGCAGGUGAAAAUACAAGCAGAGUUGGUCAUGAGGGUCUGGUUAUUCCUUGUUUUUCCCUGUAAAAACCUACUUUAUACUGCUGAAGAGUAUUCUAGUAACACUUCUCUUGCUUUUACUCCCACAGCAGGAAGAUGUCUUGAAGUAAAAGGGAGAGCCUGCAGGUCUCUGCUGGUUGUUGAUGUCCAGCCCCUGAUGUGAGAGCUCUUCACAAGUCCUGUGCAGGGCACUGAGAGCAGGAGAAUCUGCUGGGUGGUGCUGCUGGAAACAUCUCUGAGGCACAAGGACUCCAACAAAACACCUGAGCUUGAGGAUUUUGUGUAGACACGACAUUUUCCUGCCUGUUACAGAGUGCUAACAGUUAAAAGUGUUUCAUUAUGUGUACAAUAAAACAAUUAUUUUUAAAGCCACUGUGUUUUGUCCUUUUACUGCAUUAAAGAAUGACUUUUGCAUUGUUGCAUUGCAACACGUUUUUAAUAAACACAUUGGGCACUCUGUACAAUUUGCUGUAAAAUCGAGAAGAUGUACCCAGAUUGCAGAGUAUUUACUGCAGAUACUGCCUGCAGGGUUUAGUGUGGUAAUUAGGGUUUAAACAAGACACCAAGAGUGUAAUUAGUGCAGAGAUCAGCCCUCAAAUACUCUGACAGCCAGAGCAGCAAAUGCAGCUGCAUCUGUAGCUUGUUUGCAGGUUUGCUAUUUGUCAUUUUGAUCUCAAACUCGAAUUUAAAGUCUGCUGCAGAGGCAAAGUUCAGGAGUUAGGGGGAAACUUGGAGGUGCUUAAAUGGCUUAAACCCCAAUAUUUGAGGCCAAAACUCCCACUAUCAUUUUUAAUUUCAAUUUUCUGACUGAAAGGUGCUGUGAGCUGGUGCCGCUUGAGGGGCAUCAUAGGGCAGUGUCCAAAAUCACAGGUGGCUGUGCUCUCUGAGCUAUAAAUUGCAUGAAAUGUAGAAUUAAAGGAAUUUCUCUUAAAGUUGGUAUUCUGAAAAACAGGCUUAGUGUUUUUCAGGGAAGCCUGGUUCUAAAAUGUGCAGGUAAAUUAAUCUGGAUUUCUUUUUUCAGGAAUCAUUACUGUAAUACAUCCAGGACUUAAAAACAUUCAUCCUGGGCAAUGGAGUAGGUAAAACAUGUUUGGAAUUAAUUAGUUGCUCUUUGAAAGGAUUUUAGCAGUAUGAAGAACAG